This 658-nucleotide ribosomal RNA is filed under the name Colias eriphyle. RNAcentral's name for it is "Colias philodice eriphyle partial 16S ribosomal RNA". Lineage: Eukaryota; Metazoa; Arthropoda; Insecta; Lepidoptera; Pieridae. The record is from RNAcentral.
UGGGGGAAAAUUAAUAUAAUAAAAUAAAUAAUAAAAAUAAUUAUAAAAAAUAAUUAAUGGGGGUUAAAGUAUUUUUUAGAAAAAAUUUAUUAAUUUAUAGUUUAAUAGUAUUGUGAAAGAAUUUUGAAAUAAAGUUAAAUAUGGAUUAUUAUUUAAGUAAAUUUAAUUUAUUGUAUCUUGUGUAUCAGAGUUUAUUAAUAAAAUAUUUUUAAAUAAAAAUAUCUCGAAUUUAAAAGAGAUAGUUAAUUAUUAAAGUUAAUGUGACAUAAUUAUUUUAAAUAAUUAAUUUGAAAUGAAAUGUUAAUCGUUUUUAAAAAUAUCUAGUUUUUUUAGAAAAAAAUUUAAUUUUAAAUUAAUUUAAUAAUUUUUUAAAUUUUUUGUAAAAAAUUAUAUAUUUAAUUAAAUAUUUUAAGGGAUAAGCUUUAAAUUAAAUUUUUAUAAUGUUAAUAAACUAUUUAAAUAUUUUAAAAUUUAUAUUUUUUAUAAAUUAUAAUUUUUUAUAAAUAAUUUUAUUUAUUUUAAAAUUUAAAUUUAUAUUUAAAUUUAUAUAAAAAAAUAAUUUUUAAUAAUAAAAAAUUAGUUAUAAUGAUAAAAUUAGUAUAUAAAAAAAAAUAAAAUAAAAUUAAUUAAAAUUAAUAAAAAGGAAUUCGGCAAAAAU